UAAAAACCCCGACUUCGGAAGGGGUGUAUUUAUUAGAUACAAAACCAAUGCCCUUCGGGGCUCUUUGGUGAUUCAUGAUAACUAUACGAAUCGCACGGCCUUGCGCCGGCGAUGAUUCAUUCAAAUUUCUUCCCCAUCAACUUUCGAUGUUUGGGUAUUGGCCAAACAUGGUUGCAACGGGUAACGGAGGGUUAGGGCUCGACCCCGGAGAAGGAGCCUGAGAAACGGCUACUACAUCCAAGGAAGGCAGCAGGCGCGCAAAUUACCCAAUCCCGACUCGGGGAGGUAGUGACAAUAAAUACUGAUACAGGGCCCUUUCGGGCCUUGUAAUUGGAAUGAGUACAAUUUAAAUCCCUUAACGAGGAACAAUUGGAGGGCAAGUCUGGUGCCAGCAGCCGCGGUAAUUCCAGCUCCAAUAGCGUAUAUUAAAGUUGUUGUGGUUAAAAAGCUCGUAGUUGAACCUUGGGCCUGGCUGGCCGGUCCGCCUCACCGCGUGCACUGGUCCGGCCGGGCCUUUCCCUCUGUGGAACCCCAUACCCUUCACUGGGCGUGGCGGGGAAACAGGACAUUUACUUU
This 576-nucleotide ribosomal RNA is filed under the name uncultured eukaryote. RNAcentral's name for it is "SSU rRNA". It matches the Rfam family "Eukaryotic small subunit ribosomal RNA", at positions 174 to 758 of the family's 1831-position model. The record is from RNAcentral.